RNAcentral lists this long non-coding RNA (527 nucleotides) under Camarhynchus parvulus. Its description in RNAcentral is "lncRNA (ENSCPVG00000017190.1)". The record is from RNAcentral. Lineage: Eukaryota; Metazoa; Chordata; Aves; Passeriformes; Thraupidae.
GCGCGGGUGGCGCUGUCCCGCUGUGCCCGUGUCACCGGGCGCCGCCUGCGGCUGUUGGCGGCCGAGGCCGAGGAGCAGCGGCUGCGGGGGGAGAGGUACCGAGAGCAGGCCCGUGUCACCGAGGCCGCUGCCCGCCUGCUGGCCCAGCGCGUGGCCCUGGUGGCCGCGGGCACCGCCCGGCUCCUGGCCCGGGGCCGCCUCCUGCGCCGGGAGCUCGAGGACGUCGGGGACGGCGCCGCGGCCACGGCCCAGCUCAGGGCCCGGCUCAGGGCCCGGCUCAGGUGUGACCCCAUGAACCUGUCCCGCACGGUGCGGCGGAUGCUGCGCGACAGCGACAGCGACAGCGACAGCGACAACGGCGACAGCGACAGCGGCGACAGCGACAGCGACAGCGGCCACGCCCCCCCAGGCCCCGCCCCCAGCGCCGGGGACACCCCCUGAGCCCCCCGACCCCAAAACAGCCCCAAAACCCCGACCCUGACCCCAAACCCGGGGGAGCGCCCCAAAAAGGGAUUUGGGGUCUGGGG